CAGGGCCACCCUUGAGGCAUAUGGAGGUUCCCAGGCUAGGGGUCCAAUAGGAGCUACAGUUGCUGGCCACAGCCACAGCCACAGCAAUGCAGGAUCCAAGCUGUGUCUGAGACCUACACCACAGCUCAUGGCAACAUCAGAUCCUUAACCCACUGAGUGAGGUCAGGGAUCGAACCCGCAACCUUGUGGUUCCCAGUUGGAUUCCUUUCCACUGCGCCACGACAGGACCUUCAAAGACCACUAAUGUCUUGAGGAAGACAGGGAAGCCCUGUCCCAGUUUUCUGUGUUGAUAGAGGUGGAGAGUUCCAUUUGACAAGGGAGGGCAUCUUUCUGAUGUGCAGAAGUCAGAUGAAGGUGUAAGUUCUCUAACAGCCGUGAAUACAGGAAAUAGUGACUGGUGUUGUCUGCCAUUCCCGAGAGUCACACCCAGGAAGUACCCCCCCACACCCCACCCCACCCCCCCAGCAUAGGUCUGCCCUGGGCCCUGAAGUGAAGGUUCUUUCUGCCCCAACUGCUUAAGGAAGCUGUGGGAUACUGUUAAGAACAGAAGGAGGGGCCUUGAAUUUGGGAGGAAUCAUCCUGGAUGGCCCAGGUAAAAAUGGCCACUGCAUUGACCACCCUCAUAUAGGUCCUGAAGGUGACUGACCUUAUCCCAACAUGGCAGAUAUGGGAGAGCAGCAGGCUUGAGGCAGAGGAGGUUCUGGCUGUCGUGGGCAGUGUUCCAGCAAGCCCAGUCACUGAUGAUGGAGUCACGUGUGUUAAGAGUCUAGGUCUCUGUCAAGGCCAAGGAGUAGGGAGGUGAAGCAGCAAAGGUGAUCUGAAGGUGCUCCAGAAUUUCCUCAAGUUUACAGUAGAAGGUAAGACAACCAGGCUGUUCCUGAAGGCCGAGACCAGAUGUGGCGGUAGAAGCUGAGUUCCUCCUGCAGGGGCUCCAGAGCUUUUCCUCAGCAGUGGAAGAAAGCCAAAUCCCUGGACAUUCUCAGUGAAAAUUCUCCAGGAAGUCAUUACUGCAGCUAUUAUGACAGUUAUAAAAACUUUCUGCCCCCACACAGCCACUUUCCAGGGUGUAGCACAACCCUGGAGGCUGAGCAGGACCCACUCCUGCUUCCACACCUCAGAGACCCAAACUUUGUCCCACCUCUAAGCAACUAGCUUUUUGCCUUUUCUCAAACAUGGAUAAAGCACCUUUCUGGUUAUCUCUCUAAACCCUGGAGGAUCCUGUUGACGCUGCAUUUGUAUGACUCAAGAAGGCUACAUACAUGACUUUUAGCUGAAGAUUCUCUGUCAGAGUCCACACUGAAGACAAGCCAGAGCGUUCUUUGGGUUAAGAAAGAGCAGGACUUUUAACUCUCCCUGUAAUAAAGAGUCUGACUUAAUAUUUGGUGUUUGACUGCUUUUUCAUGCCUGGCUUUGCUGAAGUAUAAUUGAUUUUAAAACUGCAUAAUUAAUAAAUACAAAUAGAUGAGUUUGGACAUAUGUAGACACUUGUGUGACCAUCAACGCAGUCCAGGUAAUAAACAUAUCCAUCAUCUCCAAAAGUUUCCUUGUGUCCCUUUUAUUUGUGUGUGUGUGUGUGUGUGUGUGUUAUGUUACACAAUACCUUAUUGUUAACUAUAGGCACUCUGCUUUAUGGCAGAUCUCUGUAACAUACUCAUCUUGUGUAGCUCUGUAUCCAUUAAAUAUUCCAUAUUCCUUGACCCCUAACCCCUGAUAACCAAUACUAUAUUGUCUACUUCUAUACUUUUGCCUAUUUUAGGUACUGCCUAUGCAAAAUCAUGCCAUAUUUGUUAUUCUGUGACUGGCUUAUUUCACCGAGCAUAAUGUCUUAAAAGUGUAUCCAUGUUAUCACAAAUAAGAGUUCAUCCUUUUAAAGGCUGCAUAAUAUUCCACUGUUAUGCAUAUACCACAUUUCCCUUAUCUACCCACCUGCUGAUGGAUAUUUGGGUUGUAUGAAUCACACUGCAGUGAAUAUACAGGUGCCAAUAUCUCUUUGAGGUCCUAAUUCCAAUGCUUUUGGAGAUAUACCCAUAAGUGAGGUUGCUAAAUCAUUUGAUAUACUCAUUCAGGACCUACAAAUCCUGACAAGGGAGCUCACAAAGAGAUGGGCUAUCACUCCCACACAGUAAAAGACCCUGCCACCUUGGUUAAGUUCCUAAAAAUUAUAUUUGGGAACGCAAGUGUUGCUCUAUUCCCAACACUGUCAAGAAACAGCUAUUGACCCUUUCAGCACUCACACCAUUAAAGCAAGUCCAAUAUCUAUUAAGCCUUUUGGGUUCUGAUGCCUUUACAAAUUUGCCUUAAGCCCAUUUCUGUUGUUACUCACAAACCAUCCCUCUUUUAAUGUGGCCCCUUACAGCAAACUGCAAUAUAAUAGGCACUCCUAUCAGUGCACAAAUUUUCCUUCACUGUAGAGACUUUAGCAAACUUCCCUCAGGCCUCUAAGUGUCUCUGGUCCUCUAUGUGGCCAAAAGUUGCCCAUAGACUUCUGAUGCAUAUUGCUCUCCUCUGGCCCUGUGUUAUAAAUGCCAUUAGAGCAGUAGAGAGCAAUUACUGGCUGCAUCCUAGGCUCUUCUGGAAAUAGAGACUGACUCUCACAGACCCUAAGCCCAUGACCCUCCAUACCUAGCUGUCUAUCAUUCCUUAUGUCAUGUAAACAGCACUUGCAGGUUUGGCAUGGACAAUGAGGUCUCUUUUCUAAGAUAAAAAUCUUUAUAAACUUUAAGCACAAAGUCUGGUCUAAACAAUACUCAACAAAGCUAUUACUGUUAUUAUUGGACGAAGACCAUAGACAUAGCCAGUGUUCCCAGUUGGGAGCCUGGUGCUCCCAGUCCCCCAGCCAGUGCCCUUUCAUCAAGCACCCCUCUCAGAGAUGCCUCCCCAGAGACCAGGGGACAGUACCAGAUGACAGAUUCAAUUCCAGGAAGCCAUGUAUCUGUAUAUCCAUUACACAGAAAGGAGCCUUGUGGUCCUGUUAGAGCCUUUAUGUUCAAUAGUCACUGACUUUAAGAAGACAUUAAUUGCAUCGUGUUGACAGUGGCUGGCUUCUCCAGCCACUGUCAGGUACCAAGUACUGAUCACAUCUCUGCAACUGAGGGGACAGGGGCAGAGGAGUGCAUGUAAGAGAAGGAUAUGCUGCAUGUGUAGUUCUUGUGUAGAAAAAUAUUGCAUAUUUAAUGUACCAUAAAUACAAAUACAAAUCAUGUAUAUAUUUCUUAAAUGGUUCCCAAGAUUUCCCACUCUCAUCCCCUCAACUGUGCUAGGAUAGCGUUUACUCCUGUGAUUAGAUUAUGUAACUUUCAGAAAGGGAGAUUAUUGGAAGGGCCUAACAUAACCACGUGAACCCUUUCAAAGCAGUUUUCUCCAGCGGGUGGAGAAAGAGGAAGAGAGAUUGUGGAAACAUGAGAGAUUCUUCACGGCUGCAGUGGAGGGACCCUGGCUUAGGACUUGAGAGCGGCCUCUAGGAGUUGGAUAUUGUCUCUGGCUAACAUGUUAGCAAGACCUGUAACCACAAGGAACUGAAUUCUUCCAACAAUAAAAAUCUCUUUAGAGGAGGACCCCAAGCUCCAGAUCAAAGUGCUGUCAGCUGACACCUUGAUGUCAGCUUUGUGAGGCCCUGAUCAGAUAAUCUAGCCAUGCUAUGUUAAAUUUCUCACCUAUAGAACUGUGGGGCAAUAAAUGGGUGCUACAUUAAAGUUACAAAGUUUAAGCCACAAAACUUGUUAUGAACCCCCGACACGUUUAAAGAAAUAACAUUUUUUUAUGAAAAAAAAAAACCCUUCUAUUUUCUAAAACAAAAAAAAUGUGGUGCAAUAAACAUGCUUUAUAAACAUACGAUUUAUAAGUAUUUCUCUAAUUUUGUGACAGCCUAAUUGCAGAUUUCUGUUCUAGUGUGGAAACUCAUUUCUCCUUUAACUUCUAGAUCUAAAGGAGAUCCAAGACCCAACUCCAGCUUGGUUGGCAGUUUUUUUCAGAAGGGCUGAAUGACAGAGUGGUUUCAGUGUUUCCUGUGCAGAGCAAUCGUUAUUCCCCAAGGGCAGGAAAGAAAGGGAAGCACCCUUUUAUUUGCCCUGGCUUCCUGCAAAGGGAGUUGCUGGGAAGCGGGUCUUUUGGAACCAGGGGUGAGAAUCCAAGUGAUUGAGCUGCAACAUGGUGGGUGCAAUAGUGUGGGUGGCUCACACUGUCUCUGCUGCCCCCUGUGACUCAGCUGUCCAGACCCUGCUUAACAGCUCUCUGGGUGGGCAGGACCUUAUAUCCUGACUCUAUUUAAUUGCCAUGCAUUCCCAGGGAUCCUGAACUUGCAGGAGGCAAAUGGCCCAGGAGUUGGGAGCCUCAACAGAGAUUUAAGCCCUGGAACAGGAGCCUCAUGUCAGGCUGCCUGUUCAGCUGCAGAUGACACAGAGAAGAACAGUGCAAUCCAGUCAGACCUGGUUACCUGUCAAUAGCCUUCACAUGCUUUAUCUCUGAAGACUUCUCUGAGUUCAGGCCAAUGGAAGAUGCUUCUAUACUCAUAACUGCAUUUUUGCAUAUAGCAUCAGUAGUGGUGCAAUUUCCUUUUUCUAUAAUCGUUGUUUGAGUUUCUCCCUGAAGGCCAUAAGCCACUUGAGGGUUGGAAUUGAACUUUAUUAUCUCUGUAUUCCUGAUUUCUUCUUUGCUGAAUCAUAAUAGGCACUCAACUCCCAGCACCACAGUAGACACUCAAUAAAUAAUUGUAGCAUGAAUGAAUAAGCAGCAUCACUUUAGAACCUACCUGGUGCCCUGGUGGGCAGGUCUCACUGUGUGUUUUCACAUACAUCAUCCACCCACACUUUGCUGCCUUCCUGGGUCAACAGCUCUGCUCCAGGCAGCCCCGCUCAUCGAUGCAAGCCUGUGGUCAACACAGAAGUCAUGCUUUUAUAGGCAGCCUGGGGUAGGCCCUCCUGGAUACAGUGGUUGUCUUCUGUUGCUACCCUCUUCAGUGAGUCAAAUUUCCUUUCUCAUUUUUAAUAAAUGUCAAAUGUCAGUUGCCUAACGAAGAAGCUGUGGGCAAAGAACAAAGUUCUGUGUGGAAAAUGUCAACUCCCUAUGUCCCCAAUGCAAAUAUUGGUAUUUACCUUAUGCUGGGAACCAGUACAAAAGCCUUAGAGCCUGCAGGUUUGACUUUACUCCCACACACUUAAGAGAGUCUGGUCACUGCAUAGGAAACCAUAUUAUGCUUGUGAAACAUGAGUCCUAGAGGGGUUAUUUGACCUCUAAAAGGUCACACAGCUAAUCAAGGGACAGAGUCUGGGCUCUUGAAACAAACUUGGGAAUCAUCCCCACCAAAAUCAUAGCCCCUCUCCCAUCCCGCUGUAUGACUUCAAGCAAGUCACCUGCAGUCCUGUUGCCUCUCUCCCCAAAACUGCUCUGAAGCAUUUCCAGCAAGAGAAUAUUCAGCAUUGGCUGAAUUCCUCCUCCACUCCACAUAAUUAUGGCAAAAUGUCUUGCAAAGGCAAUCUGUGCAAACUGUUGUCAGAAAAUUCUCCUUAUAUGGAGUCAAAAUCUAAGCAGCUUAUCCCCUGGUCACCUGCACGGUGAUGGAGAGUAAGUCUCAUCUAUACCCCUCUCUCUCAAGUCCCUAUGCUUCUCCUGAAAAGACUCCUUCUUUGGAAAAUAUUUGAUUAUGAAAACAAUUUAUGUGGGGUAGGCCUGGAGAGGAGAAGCCGUAAUGUGGCUGGAGGCCAGGGUCACUGGGAAGGAGUUAGCCAAUACACAUUCCAUGCUGGUAAAAUGCCAAGGUCUUUUCAAAGCAGUCUAAUCUUAAUGUUCUAAUCUUAAUGUUCCAUCCAUCCUGUGUCAAGGCAUAACACAAACACACGCAUACCAACCAUGGAACUUUUGGUAAGAGUUUACCAAACACAAUGGCCUUGUGCUGGUAAUGUUUUAUGAAAUUAAAGGAAAACAGACUUUAAUCUGUAGCAGCAGAUUGUGCAUGUGUGUGGGGGGGCAGAUUGUGCAUGUGUGUGGGGGGGCAGGUGCCAGAGAGGACAGAAAUACAGAGUUGAAUGAGGCGGAGAGUCCAGGAAGAACAAAAGAUCUGAGAUAUAAGCCUCUGGGAAUUCACAGACAUUGUGAGGAAGUCUCUGGAUCUCUAUAGGAUUUGGGGUGUACACACACCUAUUUUAUUUGACCCAUUUCCCCUGUCUUCACCCCCCAUGAUCAAUCUUUUUUUUUCUGUUUCUAUGAGUUUUUUUUUAAUUCCACAUAUAAGUGAAAUUCUACAAUAUUUGUCUUUUCCCUAUCUGACUUAUUUCACUUAGUACAAGCCCCCAAGUUUCAUCCAUGUUGUUCCAAAUGACAAGUUUUUCUCCUUUUUUAAUAGCUGUAUAUAUUCCAUUGUGAUAUAAAUAUAUACCAUAUCUUCUCUAUCCAUUCAUCUGUCAAUAGACACUUAGGCUGUUUCCAUAUCUUAGCUGUUGUAAAUAGUGCUGCAGUAAACACAGGGGUGCA
RNAcentral lists this long non-coding RNA (6465 nucleotides) under Sus scrofa (pig). RNAcentral's name for it is "lncRNA (ENSSSCG00055026878.1)". The record is from RNAcentral. Lineage: Eukaryota; Metazoa; Chordata; Mammalia; Artiodactyla; Suidae.